This 261-nucleotide ribosomal RNA is filed under the name uncultured bacterium. RNAcentral describes it as "partial 16S ribosomal RNA". It matches the Rfam family "Bacterial small subunit ribosomal RNA", at positions 793 to 1055 of the family's 1533-position model. The record is from RNAcentral.
GUCCACGCCCUAAACGAUGUCAACUAGCUGUUGGGCCCUAUAUGGGCUUAGUAGCGCAGCUAACGCGAUAAGUUGACCGCCUGGGGAGUACGGUCGCAAGAUUAAACUCAAAGGAAUUGACGGGGCCCGCACAAGCGGUGGAGCAUGUGGUUUAAUUCGAUGCAACGCGAAGAACCUUACCUACCCUUGACAUCCUCGGAACUUGUCAGAGAUGACUUGGUGCCUUCGGGAACCGAGAGACAGGUGCUGCAUGGCUGUCGU